CACGUGGGUAACCUGCCUGUAAGACUGGGAUAACUCCGGGAAACCGGGGCUAAUACCGGAUGGUUGUUUGAACCGCAUGGUUCAGACAUAAAAGGUGGCUUCGGCUACCACUUACAGAUGGACCCGCGGCGCAUUAGCUAGUUGGUGAGGUAACGGCUCACCAAGGCAACGAUGCGUAGCCGACCUGAGAGGGUGAUCGGCCACACUGGGACUGAGACACGGCCCAGACUCCUACGGGAGGCAGCAGUAGGGAAUCUUCCGCAAUGGACGAAAGUCUGACGGAGCAACGCCGCGUGAGUGAUGAAGGUUUUCGGAUCGUAAAGCUCUGUUGUUAGGGAAGAACAAGUGCCGUUCAAAUAGGGCGGCACCUUGACGGUACCUAACCAGAAAGCCACGGCUAACUACGUGCCAGCAGCCGCGGUAAUACGUAGGUGGCAAGCGUUGUCCGGAAUUAUUGGGCGUAAAGGGCUCGCAGGCGGUUUCUUAAGUCUGAUGUGAAAGCCCCCGGCUCAACC
This 515-nucleotide ribosomal RNA is filed under the name bacterium XN-80-21. RNAcentral's name for it is "bacterial SSU rRNA". It matches the Rfam family "Bacterial small subunit ribosomal RNA", at positions 114 to 614 of the family's 1533-position model. The record is from RNAcentral.